This 73-nucleotide transfer RNA is filed under the name Yimella lutea. Its description in RNAcentral is "tRNA-Asn". It matches the Rfam family "tRNA". From Rfam's summary of the family: Transfer RNA (tRNA) molecules are approximately 80 nucleotides in length. Their secondary structure includes four short double-helical elements and three loops (D, anti-codon, and T loops). The record is from RNAcentral. Lineage: Bacteria; Bacillati; Actinomycetota; Actinomycetes; Micrococcales; Dermacoccaceae.
GUUCCGGAAGCACAGACGGAUGUUCAACCGCCUGUUAAGCGGAAGGGCGCAGGUUCGAGUCCUGUCCGGCACA